CUGUUCGAUCAACAAGGGGCCAAAGGGGGAAAACCCUAGUUCAAUCCAAUACACAAGAUUAACUAAGAAAUUCAAAGAAAUUGAAAGCAUAAUCAGGAAAUUUCAAGCUCUUAUCUUGUUCAUUCAAGGGGCGUGAAGGAAGAGGGCUCGAGUGCUAAGAAAUCGGAAGGGGUACAAGAUCGAGGUAAAACUCCACUUUAGGCGAUCUGGAGAUUUGGAGCGAGCACGUGUCCAUGCCUUAUUUUAUCAAGCGCUUCCGCUAGUUUAUAUGCAUACUUUUUGGGUCCAUGUCUUGUUAUUUUGUUUAAUCUUGUUAGAAGUCAUACACUUGAAAACUUGUUGUCUUUGUUUGGGGUAGUUUAAUGCUAAUAGGGUUGUAGACGGAUGUUGUCUAUUAUGUUAAAAACAGGGGGCAUGUUUGUUUUACGAACGGGUCAUGCCUAAUUUUUGUAAAAAUUUUUAUUAUGUAUCAAAGUUGGUAUUUUGAUGUCUAAAAAA
Molecule: long non-coding RNA, 498 nt
Organism: Helianthus annuus (common sunflower)
Lineage: Eukaryota; Viridiplantae; Streptophyta; Magnoliopsida; Asterales; Asteraceae
Exons: 3
Source: RefSeq, a predicted model, not a curated record